UACAAAAUGAAUGGUCAGGUUUUAUUUUAGAGAAAUAACUAUAAAAGAAAAAUAUCUCUUCGCAACGACGUCGUUUAAGUGGUGAAAGUCAUCGCGGUCAGAAUUCAAGAGAGAACAGUUGUUCCUUAGCCACCACGACCUUGGAUAACUCGAAAGACAAAUUAGAAAGGAAAGGAAAUUAGAGAUUGGUGUAACCUGAAACAACUAAAAUUUGAUUCAGAAAUUUCGCCAUGAAAUCCAUCUUCCUUCUCUUUCUCUUCUCAGCCCUUGUUUCUGUUUCGACCCAAUCCACCGAUUCAAAAGGCCCAACAAUUCCGCCGUCCUCUGCCCACGCUCGCCUUUGCCAAUUACGGAUUUCCGUUCGGCCUUCUGCCGUCUACUGUCUCGAGCUACACCAUUAAUGAGACCUCCGGAGACUUCUCUUUAGACCUGGGUGAUUCGUGCAAGUUCACGCUUCCACCGGACAACUACGUGGCUUCCUUUUCUAGGGUUGUCACCGGUAAGAUUGCAAAGGGUCGAAUCCACAAUCUCAACGGGAUUCGAGUCCGCGCGUUGUUCCAGUGGUGGUCGAUUACUGGAAUUAAGUCCACCGGCGAGGAUUUGGUGUUCGAGGUGGGGAUGCUCACCGCUAAGUAUCCGUCCAAGAGUUCCAACGACAGCCCUGUGUGUGAGCCCUGUCUGUCGGCUUCGUAACAGCUUCGGGUUUCUUCAAUUCACUGUAUUUCUGCUUCUUUUAAGGCCUUUCAUUCACUUCAAGCAUAGAUAUGAUAUGAACUUACCGGAUAAUGCAUAUCAUGUUAUCAUCAAUGUUUCGAGGUAUUUGUUCUUUAAAAUGCAAUAUUAACCUUCUAUCUAUGCUGCCUGUGCAUCCGCCUGCUAUUUCUAUAUAUUACUUCUGCUUAUUGCAAUUCGUAGCUUUGGAUUAAUACUCUAUUUCAAUAAUAUUAGUUUGUUUAGUGCUUGAUCA
Long non-coding RNA from Cucurbita maxima (winter squash), 967 nucleotides. RefSeq lists it as uncharacterized. The transcript has 2 exons. The record is from RefSeq and is a predicted model, not a curated record. NCBI's taxonomy places the organism in Eukaryota, Viridiplantae, Streptophyta, Magnoliopsida, Cucurbitales, Cucurbitaceae.